UACGAAGGGGGCUAGCGUUGUUCGGAAUCACUGGGCAUAAAGGGCGCGUAGGCGGCUUUGUAAGUCGGGGGUGAAAGCCUGUGGCUCAACCACAGAAUUGCCUUCGAUACUGCAUGGCUUGAGACCGGAAGAGGUAAGUGGAACUGCGAGUGUAGAGGUGAAAUUCGUAGAUAUUCGCAAGAACACCAGUGGCGAAGGCGGCUUACUGGUCCGGUUCUGACGCUGAGGCGCGAAAGCGUGGGGAGCAAACAGG
Molecule: ribosomal RNA, 253 nt
Filed under: uncultured bacterium
Lineage: Bacteria
Description: partial 16S ribosomal RNA
Rfam family: Bacterial small subunit ribosomal RNA
Source: RNAcentral